UUUCCCCAGAAUUCUGGUGGUCCCAACUCUUUGAAUUGCUUGGCCGUGACAAAUCGUGCGUUGUUAUCAUUUCCACCUGUAUUUUGUGCACGAGUCUCCCUCGUCUGAUUUUGUACGAACUGCAAAAAACUUCUAAACAUCCCGUCGUUCAUCAUCUGCUCAGUGGCGUUGUUCACAGGAGGAACAUUGCCAGCCUGCUGCACGUUCUCCUCAUUGGUGAGUAUAGGCGUCUCCAUGGUCUCAACUCCACUGUUAACAUUCUCAGUCGACAUUCUCAAAUACUGCCAUAAAACAAGGGUUAAUUAAAGAAAUCAACAUAUCACAUAAUAUCCCUAUAUACUGACCAACUAACAAAUAAGCUUAGGUAGGAC
Molecule: long non-coding RNA, 371 nt
Filed under: Panax ginseng (ginseng)
Lineage: Eukaryota; Viridiplantae; Streptophyta; Magnoliopsida; Apiales; Araliaceae
Description: long non-coding RNA (PGIN_LNC000924)
Source: RNAcentral